CCCUCGUAGUACUCGCCAUAAAAUAUGAUUACUCGACAUCUGUGAUUCACUGUAAGUGUCUGAGAGAAAGCAUUAAGUAAUCCACCUGGGAAGUACGUCCGCAAGGAUGAAACUGAAAAGAAUCGGCGGGGGUCCGCACAACCGGUGGAGCAUCUGGUUUAAUUAGAUGAUACGAGAGGAGCCUUCCUUCGGCGAGAAGGCUGGGAGAUUGUUAGUGAAAGAUCAUUUUGUAACAAUACACGGCCAGCAAGGUGCUGCAUGGCUGUCGUCAGUUCGUGCCGUGAGGUGUUGGGUUAAGUCCCGCAACGAGCGCAACCCCUAUCAUUAGUUGCCAUCAGGUCAAGCUGGGAACUCUAAUGAAAUUGCCGCCGUAAGGCGUGAGGAAGGAGGGGAUGAUGUCAAGUCAUCAUGGCCUUUAUGCCCAGGGCUACACACGUGUUACAAUCACAGGACAAAGGGUUGCCACAUAGCGAUGGGCGCGAAUCCCAAAAACCUGUUUUCAGUUCGGAUUGGAGUCCCAACUCGACUCCAUGAAGCUGGAAUCGAUAGUUAUCGUAUAUCAGCAAUGAUACGUUGAAUACGUUCCCGGACCUUUCACACACCGCCCGUCAAGCCAUGGGAGCCGGGUGUACCAAAAGUCGGUAACCGCAAGGAGCUGCCUAGGGUAAAAUCGGUGACUGGGGCUAAGUCGUAACAAGGUA
RNAcentral lists this ribosomal RNA (701 nucleotides) under uncultured bacterium. Its description in RNAcentral is "bacterial SSU rRNA". It matches the Rfam family "Bacterial small subunit ribosomal RNA", at positions 785 to 1498 of the family's 1533-position model. The record is from RNAcentral.